UUAUAAAAUUAAAUGAUAUUUAGAGAUUUUGGAUUUUUUCACCAACAAUCCCCCACAAAAUUCAAAAUCACAAAAGAAGAAUUAAACAAACAAAUAAAUAAAUCAUCGGGUGUUUAUACUAUGCAAUAGGCAAGGUGUCUUUAAGAGACUUAACCCUACUUAGUGUAAAUAGUUUCCAUCAGAAGGAAUCGGAGUGAACCAGGUCUUGAACUACGUUCCUUUGUCCCUGACUUCAACUAUCACACACACAGUACAGAAUUCUCCGUUGCGGAUCUGUGCGUUAAUGGCCAUGCACAGUACCUUAAUUUUUCAUAAGAGUUUCUAUGAAUCGCCCAUAUCACAUAGCCGCGGCCACAUACGGAUACCCUUAUAUUGGUGGUUUCCUCCAGGGAUGUGUGUAGAGUCAUAUCUCGCGAAAAUUAUCGCCUUGGAUCCCAUUAAGAGCUCUCAGUUCAACCUAAUCCACUACACAGAGCACUACUCACCAUAGGAAUGGAAUUAGAGCUAAAGCUUCUCUAUAAAAUUUGUAGAAAGUGCUCUUUGGCCAACCUGACAGCUUGUUUUUACCACAUUGAACCUUCUUCAAGGGAUCUCCUAUCACAAAGGUUGGGUUCCCACUGCAGGAAGGCCCUUUAAGGG
This 639-nucleotide long non-coding RNA is filed under the name Ananas comosus (pineapple). Its description in RNAcentral is "long non-coding RNA (ACOM_LNC032449)". Lineage: Eukaryota; Viridiplantae; Streptophyta; Magnoliopsida; Poales; Bromeliaceae. The record is from RNAcentral.